This is a long non-coding RNA of Apis cerana (Asiatic honeybee), 3230 nucleotides long. RefSeq lists it as uncharacterized. NCBI's taxonomy places the organism in Eukaryota, Metazoa, Arthropoda, Insecta, Hymenoptera, Apidae. The record is from RefSeq and is a predicted model, not a curated record.
UACAAUUAUUACAAAGAUAAAUUUUCGCAGUUAAAUGGAAUAAUUGAAUCAACAAUAAAACCAUUUAUUGUAUUAAAUUUAAAUCAUCUGAUGAAAUUAGAUAACUAACAAAACUUCAAAAUAAAAUAAUUUCAAUUCAGAAUAAAAAAAUAUUAAUUGUACAUAAUUAUAUAUAUAUAUUUUUGUAUUAUAUUUAUUAUUUUGUUAUUAAAUAUAUUUCGAUAUAUUUAUUGAAAAUAAUUUCAUAUUUAAUAUUUAAAUAUAUUUGAAAUCUGUCUUACCGGCCUUGCCUAUACAUCAAGCACAUAUUUACAUCUAUUCAUUUGUCUCGUUAGAUCGAAUAUAGUUCAUCCAUUAUAAAAAUGUUGAUUUCUAAUAUAUUUAAAAAUCAUUGAAAUCAUUGAAGUAAAGAAUUUUCUAUUCUGAAUGGUUAUUGAAAUGAUUAUUUGAUUUAUGAUAUUGAUUUAAUAAACAGUUUGCUUUUGUACCUAUUAUUAUGUUUAUAAAGUUUUUGUUUUUUUAAUUUUUUGAUUUAAAUUAUAAUUAAUUUCAUUGCAUUUUAAUAUGAAAAUUUUAUUUAUUGUUUUUUUUUGUUCUCUGAAUAUUUUAUUAUAAUUAAUUUUUAUUUGUAUUGUAUAAUAAAAGAUAUAAGCAAUAUUUAUUAUAGUUAUAUUAUUUUAAAAUCUAAAAAAAGUAUUCACACAUAUAUAAAAGAUUUAAGAACAUCAAAAUAUUAGAAAAUAUUAAGAAAAUAUGAAAAAAAUUUUGAAAAAGAAAAAAAAGAAUAAUGAAAUUAAAAAAAAAGGAAGCCGAAUGCAAAGAAAAAUGAAUUAAAAGAACUAAAACUACGAAAAAAAAAAUAAUGUAAGAAAAAUCGGUAAAGAAGUUAUUUUUAAUUAAUUAAAUGAGUUAAAAAGGUAAACACAAGAUGGCAGUAAAAUAAUAGAGAAGAAAAAAAAAGGAGAAAUAAGAAAGGAUUUCACAGAACACAUGGAAACAAAUAUGAAGAUCGUUUUAUAUAUAUAAAAAUAAAAGAAAAAUUAGAGAAGAAAAUUCUUAUAUUUAUUUUAUUUUCUUCUUAUGUUUUUUCUUUUUGUAUUCAAUUUUAUUAUUUUUAAGAACAAAAGGAAAUAUACAUAAAAAAAGAGAAAGAAAUAUAGAGGUUAAAUAAGAAAAAGUAUUACAAUAAAAGAAAUAAUAAUUUUUGUAGAAAAUAUAAAAACGCAAGAAAAAACACGAACAAAGAAAAAGUAUGUAAAAGUGAUAACAUUAAAAUAGCAAUUAAGAAAGAAGAAGAAGAAUAGAAAAAAGCAGAAGAAGAAAAACGAAGAAAAGAAAGGAACUAACAAGAAGUUUAAUUUUUUUUAAAUAAUUAAUAAAAAAUAAAGAAAAUAAAAUGAGAAACUUAAAAAUAAAGAUUGUAUAUGUGAAAAAGAAAAAAGAAAAAAAAAGAGAAAGAAUGUAUAGAAGAAAAAGAUUAAUUAUUAGAAUUAAUAUUAAUUUUAAAAUAAAAAUGAUUCUGGAUAAAAGAAAAUAUGAUCUUGGAUAAAAUAAGUUAGAUAAAUAAAAUAGAAAUAGAAUCCAGAAUAACAAAGAAAUGGCUUUGAUUUAUAAUAUUAAUGACUCAGAUGUAUAACUUUGAGAGUUUUAUUCGACAAUCUGAACAAAAUUUUAUGAUUUAAGAAUUUACCGCAAAGAAGGUGUCCAGGGGGAAAUUCUGGAUAUCUCGGUCACUUUAGAUGGAGAUGGACUUUUAUCGAGUUUUUAUCGACUAAAAUUCUCACACAGCCUUCCUCUGAUGCUUCUAAUACCGGUAACUCUAAUAAACACACAUCCUGCCACUUUUUUUUCUCUUUUUUUCUCUUUUUUUCUCUAAAAAUUUUUUAAUUAUAUGCACUCGUUUGGCGACAUCGAAAUCACACAUAUUUUCUUUUUUUAUGUUGCGCCAUAUAGACUCUUUCUAUACGAUACUAAUAAGAUCAAAACUUGCGUCGUAGAAAGCGUGUUUUAACUAUGGUUCAUCCAUUUGUUCAAAACAGAAAGAACACUCUUAACUACUGUCGAUAAUUGGCGAAGUUUUAGGGUUCUUGUCUUUAUCUUGUCUGCUCUAUCACAAUACCUUACUUUUAAUCAUAUCUGCUGGCAGAUUGUUGUUUCUAAAAGAAGAUACUCAUAUAGAUGGAAUAACAGAGUUGUCAACAUCGUUACCGCCACGUGAAAAUGAUAUAGAAUCGCCUCACAACUCUGAUGGCACUUAAUUUCCAUAUAAUUAUGAAGAUUGGUCAUCAAAAAUAUGCUCUCUACAAUGCUAUACUCUGCUUGACUUUUAAAUAAUCCAAUGUGCGUAUUCUAAUAACUUUGCUGUAUAUAUCAUGGCAAAAGAAUCAUUUCAGUCUCCAAACCAGCUAAGAUUAUUGAGAAUAUUUUGUCGUAAAAUAGAUCGUAUUUGAUAGAUCGUAUUUGAUUGAAGGCUAGAACACAGAUAAUUUGUCUUUAUCGUGUUCUAUUUGAGUUUAUUCUUUCUUGUCUGUUCUGUUUUUAGAUGAAAUUGAAAAUUGUCUCAUUUUCGUUUCUCUUAACCUUUUGUGCUCCAAACUUUUUUCACUCGGUCGAAUCAAUAACUCCAAAUGAUUUCCCGCACGUUCGAUGAAUUUCUUAUAGUUAAUUUAAAAUAAUUUCACACACAAUUAUAUUUUAAUAUUUUAUGUAUCUUUACACACGAAAAAAGAAAAUUUGUUGAAUAUUAAAGUCUAUGUUGUUGUUUUACGUGAUAUUUUAUAAAGCAAUUAUCAAGAUACAUCCUCGGCUUGUUAUCACAAUAAAAAUGUCUGAUGUUUUUCACUUUUCUCAUUUCGUUGGAAUCAAACAUUACAAUCCUUCUUUAUUUCUGUUAAUACAACGUGCAAUUUUCCAUUCAAACGAAUUUUAUCGAAAUUGAAGAAAAAAAUGUAUUAUGUAUGGAAUGAAAUUUAUACUUCAUAGUAAUUAUUAUAUAAAAGAACUUUAGAAAAAGGUUAAAAAUUAAACGCAUAGGAUCCAUGCAUUACAUAUACACACACAUCUUGCACACGUGAUCACUAAGUAUUCCUUCGGUCCUGACAGAUGGCAAUACCCGCGAGUUGAGCGUAACAUAUACAACAAAGUGGAAGUUCGAUUCUGGCGAAAAUCAAUUUUCUGGUCAAUUAAAGUUUUUAUAUAUCGUAAAUGAAUAAGCGGCUAUUCGUUUCCCU